GGCAUUAAAUUUAAACCGACAGCUGAGGUACUCAUCUUCGUUUAUCUAGCUGGAAUGGUGUCUGGUUCUACUGAUGGCCCGAUUUUUCCACUUAUUCAAGAAGUAGAUGUUUAUCAGUAUGAACCUUCAAAGCUGAAAAGUAAGCAUGAAGUUUAUACAUACCAACUUACUUUCUGAUCUGGUGCUAUUUAUCAUCAAUUUUGUUUGUUAAUUAAAUAUUUCAGGUAAAGCUCAUGAUUUUGGUGAUGGGAACAUGUACUUCUUCUCACGUGUACAGAAGAAAUAUAAAAAAGGAUCAAUUCGUGACAGAAAAGCUAAAGGUGGAUUUUGGAAGACCGGCAAGUGCAAUACUGUUAGAGGCAAAGAUGGGGGUACAGGUACAGAGAGGUCACUGACAUACUACAGCUACAGGCAUGACCCAAAACCGGGUGAAAAGCCAAUAAAGACCCAUUGGCUAAUGAGGGAGUAUAUGCUUAAGCGGCCAAAAAAUGAUAAAGAAUCCAUGGAAGGUUGCAAGGUUAAGAUAUAUAUAUCUGAUGCUUUUUCUAAUUAACGUCCUGUACUUUAUUAAAUUGGCAGGAAUACUUACUGAAGAAUUUCUACCUAUAGUGUAUAACUUUGAUAGUUUAUUAUUACGAUUAGUAAUUAUCUUUUGCAUAUGUUUUUUAAUUUGUUUUUCUUAAGUUAAUGCAGGCGCUCUGCGUGGUUUACUUUCAUGGGCAACGUGACAAUGAAGAUAAGCAAAAUUCACACCCAGAUGUGGAGGCGGAGGGAUCACCAACGCGCAAUAAUCCUGCAUUGAUACACUGGGAUUCAAACCUUGAGGCUAUCAAUCUUGAAGAAACACUUCCUCCUUCUUGGUCUUACUCAAACGUGUUCGCUCUGAGUCCUAAUUGUUAUCCUCUAUUAAACUCUACUCCAAACCCUGCAGCCAUCCCUUAUGAACAACCCCUGUUUUUUCCUCCAAACUCUUUCCAAAAUACGACAGAUAUAACCUUUGCAUCUUGGGGUUCCAUUUCUCCUGCUCCGAAUAAUAAUUUUCCAUUAUACAGCUCUAACUUGAACCCUGCAGCUUCCACUCCUGAACGUCCUUCUUCUAACUCUUUUCAAAAUAUGAUCAAUAUGAUGGGUGUAUCUUCGGCUGCUCCAGCUGAUUCAAUUAUCAAUACUCCGAAUAACUGGUGCAGUACACUUGCGGAACUAGAUCCACAAAACUGGAUGGUUGAGAGACAAGAGGCGGAUGGUUCUCCAUAUCAGUACUCCUCCAAUGACGAUAUACAGCUGCUAGAACAAUACCUAUUUGAAAACGAUCAAAUGUGGUUCCAAGCUUUCCCAAUACAGCAAUCGCCCAAAUCAUGAAUCAGAAUCAGGAUCCAAGCUGCUUGAACUCUGCAAAGGGUACUCUUUGGUACCCUGACCCAAUGUUGCUGCUUGACAAUACCAAAUGUCAAGAAUUAAUGAUUGCUACUUCCUACUAAUAUUGUUAGCUUUUUGCUUGUAAGCUAGAGCCGCGAUUGGUGUGCACCUGUCUUCAUUGGUUGUCGCUUUCUUUCUUUUCCACAUUUGUAUCGCGCUUUAAUUUCAUGUGCUGUAGGCUUAUUUUGCUAAGGUGUUUUUCAUGAUUAUCUUUCAGUUAUUGAUUUCUCUUUGUAGUGAUGUCAAUGGGGCGGGUUUGGGGCGGGAAAUGAUUACAAAAUUAAUCUACCAUGCAGAAAAUAGCCACGCCUAACAAAAUUCUACAGCCCAAUACCAGAAACGAAACAGUUCAGCUGAAGAAAAAAGAAAAAUACCUCUACAAGUCUAUAUGGUCAUUCUUUAAGAGUAUUUGCAAGAAGCUGGACUCCAAAAACUUUGCUGCGAUGAUUUCUGUGAGAGUUGAGAGCAAUUAAACAAAAAGGAGAACACCAUAAUCACAUGGGUAGUUUGUUAAUCCACAACAGAAUGACUUUGUCAACACAUAUCCCUACACAUUAUCACUUCUAAAACAAAGCUUCCUAUAAAGCAUUUAUUUGGAUAGAAGAAAAAGAAACCACUCACUCUAAUAUUGACUUUAUCGAUUGGAAAUAAGUGCAUAUAUAUAGAAACAAAAAAUACAGAGAUAACUAAUGGAGGUCCUAGCCUGCCAUCUACAUGUUUAAGUCUGCAGCUACAUGAAGUUUACAUAAACCAAAACUCAACCUAGGAAAUUAAAUAAAAACACAUGCAUAGGAAAAAGAAAUUUAGAAACAAAGAAGGUCUCAAAAGCCCACACUUGCAAAAAUCCUUUCUUAAGUUUCUUCUAUCCUACAGCAUUCAGACUCUUUCCAAAACGAAAAACAAUGCUUCAACAACUAAUUAAGCUAAAUUAAGGAAAUAUAAACACUUACACUAAUCGUAAAGCCAUCUAAUUAUUUUAAACACUCAUUUUCCAACUCAAUAGCUAAUUAAAAUUUAAGAUCAUAAAAACCCAAAAAUCAAAAAAUUCCUUUACCCUUCCACCCGACUGAAACUAAACGACCCCCCCCCCCCCCUUUUCAGUUUUUUCCACAAACCAAACAGCACCACCACUAAAAAAAUUAAAAAUUAAAAAAAAAAAACUUUCCUUCUCAUUCCCGAGAAAAAAAAAAUUUAAAAUUCCCAUAAUAUCAUCGUUGAAAAAGAGCAGAAGAACAGAUUAGUUUGUUAACCAAGAACAGAGUAGUUUGUUAACCAAGAACAGAGUAGUUUGUUAACCCAGCACAGAACAGAACGGCGUCAUCAAGACAUAUCCCACGUUUCGCAUUAUCCAUUAUCACCCAUAAAGCAAAGCUUCUUAUAAGCCAUACAUUUGUAGGGGAAAAAAAAAAAAGAAACCACUCAUUCUAUUUCGUCAAGUUCUUUCUUCUCUGGUUUCAUGCUUUCCAUCUCUACUUGAAACUUUUCAUUCUUUUCUCUUUUAUUAGGCCCAAAGCAUGGCUGUCGGUAACUCAAAUCACGGCUGCAGCCUCUGUUUCAGUGAGCUCUCCAUGGCUGCAGUUUGUGCUUCAGGCUAUGUGACUGAGAAUGAAAUCAGAAGAAGAUGAAUGAAAACACACAAAACGUAAAAUUGACUCAAAUCAAUGAAACCAGAUGCAAUUUGAAAUAAAUAAAUAAAGAAAGAAAAAUAGGAAAAGCAAAAACCUUGCAGCAGGAGAACCGAUAGCGCGGCUGGUGUUGGUCGGUGACGACGAACGGUGGCGACUGACCAGCUGUUAGCGACGGCAGCGGCGGCUGACGAGCUGUUAGGGUUUCUUUUGGGGGAACGAUUGAUUCAAUCCAAAUGAAUUAAGGAAUUUUUUUUUUUAGUUUUUAUUUUUGGGUCGGGUUAGGGGACCCGAAAAAAUUCCCAAAUCUAAAUCCAAAAUUUUUUUAGGCUUAGACCCAU
This 3382-nucleotide long non-coding RNA is filed under the name Citrus maxima (pomelo). RNAcentral's name for it is "long non-coding RNA (CMAX_LNC001403)". Lineage: Eukaryota; Viridiplantae; Streptophyta; Magnoliopsida; Sapindales; Rutaceae. The record is from RNAcentral.